Molecule: long non-coding RNA, 590 nt
Organism: Bos taurus (domestic cattle)
Lineage: Eukaryota; Metazoa; Chordata; Mammalia; Artiodactyla; Bovidae
Source: Ensembl
GUCUUCAUUCCAAGCGGAGGGCGGGCUACAGAUAGAGGAUUGGGUGUCUCUUCCAAGCUCCAAGUCCUUCACAGAAAUGGGCUACUGUGCAUGUUUUCUUCCCAACCUUGAGGUCACCUGUGUGGAUAGAGGUUUUGAAAGAUUUCAGACUCUGGGCACAGAGGUCAUAUCCCGCCUUGACUCUCGCCACGCCUUCCUUGACUUCACAGGUGCUUUCCCUUCAGAAGGCCCUGCUCUGAGCGGCCCCUCUUCCCCGACCCACUCCUUCCAAGACGCAGUACUCGGCAUAGGACGCCCACCUGCCCGCCUUGCGCGGGGCUGACCUGGACAUCCCUGCCCGGGGCUCACACCCCUGCAGGACUGGGGGUAGAUGGAGCCAAAGAGGAUGUCCCCCAGGCUCUACAGACUCAGCAACUUGGGGUGGAGAAUGAGAGUGGAUCAGUCAUUGGAUUGGCUUAAAGGAACACGCGUGUGAUGUCUCUGUGGGCCUGGAGCAGCUUCUGUGGUUGGCGUGGCUGCCUCACCCGCAGUCUUGCCUGAUGGCAGGAGGCCUCUCUCCUCCACCACGCGAUCUCACCCAAGCCCUGCAC